GCAGUCGAACGGCAGCACGGACUUCGGUCUGGUGGCGAGUGGCGAACGGGUGAGUAAUGUAUCGGAACGUGCCUAGUAGCGGGGGAUAACUACGCGAAAGCGUAGCUAAUACCGCAUACGCCCUACGGGGGAAAGCAGGGGAUCGCAAGACCUUGCACUAUUAGAGCGGCCGAUAUCGGAUUAGCUAGUUGGUGGGGUAACGGCUCACCAAGGCGACGAUCCGUAGCUGGUUUGAGAGGACGACCAGCCACACUGGGACUGAGACACGGCCCAGACUCCUACGGGAGGCAGCAGUGGGGAAUUUUGGACAAUGGGGGAAACCCUGAUCCAGCCAUCCCGCGUGUGCGAUGAAGGCCUUCGGGUUGUAAAGCACUUUUGGCAGGAAAGAAACGUCAUGGGUUAAUACCCCGUGAAACUGACGGUACCUGCAGAAUAAGCACCGGCUAACUACGUGCCAGCAGCCGCGGUAAUACGUAGGGUGCAAGCGUUAAUCGGAAUUACUGGGCGUAAAGCGUGCGCAGGCGGU
This 526-nucleotide ribosomal RNA is filed under the name Achromobacter sp. Its description in RNAcentral is "bacterial SSU rRNA". It matches the Rfam family "Bacterial small subunit ribosomal RNA", at positions 57 to 579 of the family's 1533-position model. Lineage: Bacteria; Pseudomonadati; Pseudomonadota; Betaproteobacteria; Burkholderiales; Alcaligenaceae. The record is from RNAcentral.